This 505-nucleotide ribosomal RNA is filed under the name uncultured Planctomycetota bacterium. RNAcentral describes it as "uncultured planctomycete partial 16S ribosomal RNA". Lineage: Bacteria; Pseudomonadati; Planctomycetota. The record is from RNAcentral.
CUCCACCGCUUGUGUGAGCCCCCGUCAAUUCCUUUGAGUUUCAGCCUUGCGACCAUACUCCCCAGGCGGGGUACUUAACACUUUUGCUUCGGCUGUGAACCCAUGUUAAGUCCACAACCUAGUACCCAUCGUUUAGGGCUAGGACUACCGGGGUAUCUAAUCCCGUUCGCUCCCCUAGCUUUCGCGCCUCAGCGUCAGAAGAGGUCCAGCACGUCGCUUUCGCCACCGGAGUUCCUUCCGAUAUCAACGCAUUUCACCGCUCCACCGGAAGUUCCACAUGCCCCUACCUCGCUCAAGACCACCAGUAACCAAGGCACUUUUCCGGUUGAGCCGAAAGAUUUCACCCCGGACUUGAUGGCCCGCCUACGCGCCCUUUAAGCCCAGUGAUUCCGAACAACGUUCGCACGGUUCGUCUUACCGCGGCUGCUGGCACGAACUUAGCCCGUGCUUCCUCCAGGGAUAGGUCAGACCUUUCGGCUUUCCUCCCCCUCGACAGUGCUUUACA